GGCAGAACAUGGAGGCCGGUACAUGGAGGAGAAGACUCGCGGGGCCCGACAAUCAUCGCAGAUAUUCACUGGAGAUCCCGGCUCAGGAAGGGAAUCAACGACAAGAGUCUGAUAGGACAGGAGUGAGCACAGAGGAGUGCUAGUCCUGCCCUCACAUACUGGACUCUGUCCAUGCCUGUACUUCAACUGGGACAAAGGUGGUGCUGAUGCCAGACAGACUUACGGAAGUGCCUCCAUAACCGCAGUCAUUAAUCCUAAUUCUUUCAUUAUCUGGCGGAGAGGCAUGUCGGGAUGAUAUAUGAUGGUCCUGAUAACCAUUAGAGGCCUCACC
Molecule: long non-coding RNA, 331 nt
Organism: Hyla sarda
Lineage: Eukaryota; Metazoa; Chordata; Amphibia; Anura; Hylidae
Exons: 3
Source: RefSeq, a predicted model, not a curated record